GUUGACCUCGGAUCAGUAGAAAUACCCGCUGAACUUAAGCAUAUCAAUA
RNAcentral lists this ribosomal RNA (49 nucleotides) under Colletotrichum magnum. RNAcentral's name for it is "partial 28S ribosomal RNA". The record is from RNAcentral. Lineage: Eukaryota; Fungi; Ascomycota; Sordariomycetes; Glomerellales; Glomerellaceae.